CAACCGUGCGAAGGUAGCGAAAUCACUUGUCUCCUAAAUAGAGACCUGUAUGAAAGGCCCAAUGAGAAAGAAACUGUCUCUUGAAGUUAGCCAAUGAAACUGAUCUGCCCGUGCAAAAGCAGGCAUAACAAAACAAGACAAAAAGACCCUGUGAAACUUAAAAUAAACGCCAAUAACAUGUCGAUAUUUUUAGGUUGGGGCAACCAAAGAGAAACAAAACCUCUAAAACACAUUAGACUAACAAGUCUAACCAAACCAAUAUGACCCAGUAAAACUGAUUAAUGAACCAAGCUACUCCAGGGAUAACAGCGCCAAAUUCUUGAAGAGUCCGCAUCAACAAGAAUCCCUACGACCUCGAUGUUGGAUCAGGAUA
RNAcentral lists this ribosomal RNA (373 nucleotides) under Agama picticauda. RNAcentral's name for it is "partial 16S ribosomal RNA". It matches the Rfam family "Bacterial large subunit ribosomal RNA", at positions 1943 to 2544 of the family's 2925-position model. Lineage: Eukaryota; Metazoa; Chordata; Lepidosauria; Squamata; Agamidae. The record is from RNAcentral.